GAUGAAGAACGCAGUGAAAUGCGAUAAGUAAUGUGAAUUGCAGAAUUCAGUGAAUCAUCGAAUCUUUGAACGCACAUUGCGCCCGCCAGUAUUCUGGCGGGCAUGCCUGUUCGAGCGUCAUUUCAACCCUCAAGCACAGCUUGGUGUUGGGACUCGCGUUAAUUCGCGUUCCCCAAAUUGAUUGGCGGUCACGUCGAGCUUCCAUAGCGUAGUAGUAAAACCCUCGUUACUGGUAAUCGUCGCGGCCACGCCGUUAAACCCCAACUUCUGAAUGUUGACCUCGGAUCAGGUAGGAAUACCCGCUGAACUUAAGCAUAUCAAUAAGCGGGAGGA
RNAcentral lists this unclassified non-coding RNA (333 nucleotides) under soil metagenome. RNAcentral's name for it is "partial contains 5.8S ribosomal RNA, internal transcribed spacer 2, and large subunit ribosomal RNA". The stretch from base 1 to 120 matches the Rfam family "5.8S ribosomal RNA", at positions 35 to 154 of the family's 154-position model. The record is from RNAcentral.